GUUGAUGAUCGGUGCUUGCACCGAGAUUCAACAUGGAACGAGUGGCGGACGGGUGAGUAACACGUGGGUAACCUGCCCUUAAGUGGGGGAUAACAUUUGGAAACAGAUGCUAAUACCGCAUAGAUCCAAGAACCGCAUGGUUCUUGGCUGAAAGAUGGCGUAAGCUAUCGCUUUUGGAUGGACCCGCGGCGUAUUAGCUAGUUGGUGAGGUAAUGGCUCACCAAGGCGAUGAUACGUAGCCGAACUGAGAGGUUGAUCGGCCACAUUGGGACUGAGACACGGCCCAAACUCCUACGGGAGGCAGCAGUAGGGAAUCUUCCACAAUGGACGCAAGUCUGAUGGAGCAACGCCGCGUGAGUGAAGAAGGCUUUCGGGUCGUAAAACUCUGUUGUUGGAGAAGAAUGGUCGGCAGAGUAACUGUUGUCGGCGUGACGGUAUCCAACCAGAAAGCCACGGCUAACUACGUGCCAGCAGCCGCGGUAAUACGUAGGUGGCAAGCGUUAUCCGGAUUUAUUGGGCGUAAAGCGAGCGCAGGCGGUUUUUUAAGUCUGAUGUGAAAGCCCUCGGCUUAACCGAGGAAGCGCAUCGGAAACUGGGAAACUUGAGUGCAGAAGAGGACAGUGGAACUCCAUGUGUAGCGGUGAAAUGCGUAGAUAUAUGGAAGAACACCAGUGGCGAAGGCGGCUGUCUGGUCUGUAACUGACGCUGAGGCUCGAAAGCAUGGGUAGCGAACAGGAUUAGAUACCCUGGUAGUCCAUGCCGUAAACGAUGAAUGCUAGGUGUUGGAGGGUUUCCGCCCUUCAGUGCCGCAGCUAACGCAUUAAGCAUUCCGCCUGGGGAGUACGACCGCAAGGUUGAAACUCAAAGGAAUUGACGGGGGCCCGCACAAGCGGUGGAGCAUGUGGUUUAAUUCGAAGCAACGCGAAGAACCUUACCAGGUCUUGA
This 945-nucleotide ribosomal RNA is filed under the name Lacticaseibacillus casei. RNAcentral describes it as "bacterial SSU rRNA". It matches the Rfam family "Bacterial small subunit ribosomal RNA", at positions 66 to 984 of the family's 1533-position model. The record is from RNAcentral. Lineage: Bacteria; Bacillati; Bacillota; Bacilli; Lactobacillales; Lactobacillaceae.